CAGCAGCCGCGGUAAUACGGAGGGGGCUAGCGUUGUUCGGAAUUACUGGGCGUAAAGCGCACGUAGGCGGCUUGGUAAGUUAGAGGUGAAAGCCUGGAGCUCAACUCCAGAAUUGCCUUUAAGACUGCCGAGCUAGCAGGUGAGAGAGGUAAGUGGAAUUCCGAGUGUAGAGGUGAAAUUCGUAGAUAUUCGGAAGAACACCAGUGGCGAAGGCGGCUUACUGGCUCAUACUGGACGCUGAGGUGCGAAAGCGUGGGGAGCAAACAGGAUUAGAUACCCGCGUAGUCCCUGUCUCUAUACA
This 301-nucleotide ribosomal RNA is filed under the name uncultured bacterium. RNAcentral describes it as "partial 16S ribosomal RNA". It matches the Rfam family "Bacterial small subunit ribosomal RNA", at positions 509 to 808 of the family's 1533-position model. The record is from RNAcentral.